Molecule: long non-coding RNA, 1085 nt
Organism: Spinacia oleracea (spinach)
Lineage: Eukaryota; Viridiplantae; Streptophyta; Magnoliopsida; Caryophyllales; Amaranthaceae
Exons: 2
Source: RefSeq, a predicted model, not a curated record
UCUUCUUCUUCUAAUCUCCUUUCAUCUAUUAUUUCCAAAUACAAUUUUUGUAUUGAGUUCUAUUUUCAUCUCGAAUUUUUUUUAUCAAAAUCUGAGGCCCGGCCCCUAAUUGAUUUUUACGAAAAAUUAAACCUUAAAUUUGCGUUAGAUGAAGUUAAAUCAUGUUUGUUCAAGCUCAUUUUUGCGGGAUAUUGUUGAUUGAUUCAUUUUCUGUGGAGAUUAUCAUUUCACUUAUUUUCGCCCAAAUUCCCCGGCCUAAGUUCUGCUACUUUCAGUCGGUCAAUUCUUUGUGUUGAUCGUUAAAUUGAUUCAAUUGGAUGAGUUUUAGGUUGAUUUGCAGGAACUUAUUGAUUGCUUUAUUACUCUAUGUAGUUGAAUGAUUUGUAUUAUAUUUGUUCAGAAUUAAUACUUUGCUCAAUUGGGUUUUGUGCUUACUUCCAGUCGUAUGCCAUCUUUUACUCUUGUGCGACUAGGUACUGCCAAUGGGUAUAUUGUUCUAAUUGUUUUUCUUUGUGGCAUUGGGAAUGUGUUAUUAGGAACAGGUUCUUAGUUGACUCCAAUACUUCAGUUGUGGGGGCAGAUACUUAUUUCAGGUUAUGCGACAAUUAAGCUGAUACUUACAACACAGAAUGUUGUUAAGGACGUACCUGUUGCAGAACACCACAAAAUUUACGGCUCCAACAGAUGAUUAUGGUGUGGCUCACAAGUUGCAUAGAAGCAUCAGUAAUACCAGAGAAUGCAGCAAGGGGUUGUUGGGCUACAAUAGGAUUAUGUUCCCACCCCUGAAUUUCAUUCAAUAAGAAAAGCAGGAAGAAGAUCAUUUAUACGACAUGUAAUAUUACAGCUUUAGAAUUGAGGAGAUGGGCAACAACUCAGUCUGAAGUUGUAGAAUUCAGGAGAUGGGCAGCAACUCAGUCGUUUUAGACUGUUACUUUAGCUUAAUUACGUUGUUUGUGUAAUUAAUCGAUUAAAUAUAUGCUUUAUUAUUUGGAUGGAAAUAUGGCAGCCUUGUAACAAUGUCAUUGAUGCCUUUGUGUAUAUAUUGAUCAGUGGAUGAAUGAAAAGAAUAUAGAUUUUGUGGUGAA